UGGGGAAUAUUGCACAAUGGGCGAAAGCCUGAUGCAGCGACGCCGCGUGAGGGAUGACGGCCUUCGGGUUGUAAACCUCUUUCAGUAGGGACGAAGCGCAAGUGACGGUACCUGCAGAAGAAGCACCGGCUAACUACGUGCCAGCAGCCGCGGUAAUACGUAGGGUGCGAGCGUUGUCCGGAAUUACUGGGCGUAAAGAGCUCGUAGGCGGUUUGUCACGUCGUCUGUGAAAUCCUAGGGCUUAACCCUGGACGUGCAGGCGAUACGGGCUGACUUGAGUACUACAGGGGAGACUGGAAUUUCUGGUGUAGCGGUGGAAUGCACAGAUAUCAGGAAGAACACCGAUGGCGAAGGCAGGUCUCUGGGUAGUAACUGACGCUGAGGAGCGAAAGAAUGGGUAGCGAACAGG
This 409-nucleotide ribosomal RNA is filed under the name bacterium. RNAcentral's name for it is "partial 16S ribosomal RNA". It matches the Rfam family "Bacterial small subunit ribosomal RNA", at positions 355 to 776 of the family's 1533-position model. The record is from RNAcentral.